This 962-nucleotide long non-coding RNA is filed under the name Gouania willdenowi (blunt-snouted clingfish). RNAcentral describes it as "lncRNA (ENSGWIG00000025063.1)". The record is from RNAcentral. Lineage: Eukaryota; Metazoa; Chordata; Actinopteri; Blenniiformes; Gobiesocidae.
GAGGACUCUGCUUCCUCAGCCUCCAGUGACUCUGAGGAUGAAGGUGAGUCGUCCCAGGAGUCACCACUUGGACGCAGUGUCUCCAGGAAGAGGUGUUACUGUAGUGAUUUUACAGUCAGGUACGUAGACACCUCUGAGGAACCUGCAUUGUCCGACUGUCAGUGUGAGCCUGGGACGAAGAGGCCGAGACGGGACGACAGCUCUGACUCAUCUUAGUCAUCUGUGCUUUUCCUUUUCCUGCUCCACUCCAUCUAUGAGCAGAGUUCCCUGUUUUUAUCCGGCUUCCACAGCUCGUCCUUGCGUCUGGCGGGAUUAGCUCAGCUUUUGUCCAUGUGUGUGUGUCCAGUGCGUCUUGCACCUGGGCUCUUUUGUAAAUAGUUGUUUUGAGGUAAGUUGGCCUUUGCGUCUUGCAGGGAGCGACUGGUACCGGGACUUUUUUAAAUGGUAAGGAUUUAUUUGAUGUUUCUUUAUGACGGACCACAGCCGGAGUGAUUGUCCUGUCACUGUUUUAAAACAUGCAUGAUAGAUUAGGUUUAGUUAGGUUAGAGUUAAGAAUUAGAGUUAACCUUUUUAAUCCCAGCAAGUGAGGACAGGAGGCGACAUCAGCAGAGGACAGAGACCAAAGAAGACUUCUUUAUCAACCAAAACAAUGUGCACCAGCAUCCACAGCAGUAGUCCCAUAAGUAGUCUGAGGAGGAAACAUCAGCAGAAAGCAAAACAAUCAAUGUAAGUAAAGCCUCUCAUUGACACAGAACGACACUGAACUAAUGUUUGAUGUAAAAAUAGACGUGACUUUAUACUAAUGCCUGUAAAAUGUUGGACUGGAACAACGGCAUCCGCUGAUGGAGGAGGAGGAUGAAGAUGGAGGACAGGAGCACCAGCAUCCACAGCAGCUUGAGGAGGAAACAUCAGCAGAGGACAGAAAGACUUCUAUUAACCAAAAAACAAUACAGGAGUGCUAG